RNAcentral lists this ribosomal RNA (468 nucleotides) under uncultured bacterium. RNAcentral's name for it is "partial 16S ribosomal RNA". It matches the Rfam family "Bacterial small subunit ribosomal RNA", at positions 28 to 507 of the family's 1533-position model. The record is from RNAcentral.
GACGAACGCUGGCGGCGUGCUUAACACAUGCAAGUCGAACGGAAAGGCCCUGCUUUUGUGGGGUGCUCGAGUGGCGAACGGGUGAGUAACACGUGAGUAACCUGCCCUUGACUUUGGGAUAACUUCAGGAAACUGGGGCUAAUACCGGAUAGGGGCUCCUGCUGCAUGGUGGGGUUUGGAAAGUUUCGGCGGUUGGGGAUGGACUCGCGGCUUAUCAGCUUGUUGGUGGGGUAGUGGCUUACCAAGGCUUUGACGGGUAGCCGGCCUGAGAGGGUGACCGGCCACAUUGGGACUGAGAUACGGCCCAGACUCCUACGGGAGGCAGCAGUGGGGAAUAUUGCACAAUGGGCGGAAGCCUGAUGCAGCAACGCCGCGUGCGGGAUGACGGCCUUCGGGUUGUAAACCGCUUUCGCCUGUGACGAAGCGUGAGUGACGGUAAUGGGUAAAGAAGCACCGGCUAACUACGUG